GUAUAAGAGACAGGGAGGCAGCAGUAGGGAAUCUUCCGCAAUGGACGAAAGUCUGACGGAGCAACGCCGCGUGAGUGAUGAAGGCUUUCGGGUCGUAAAACUCUGUUGUUAGGGAAGAACAAGUGCUAGUUGAAUAAGCUGGCACCUUGACGGUACCUAACCAGAAAGCCACGGCUAACUACGUGCCAGCAGCCGCGGUAAUACGUAGGUGGCAAGCGUUAUCCGGAAUUAUUGGGCGUAAAGCGCGCGCAGGUGGUUUCUUAAGUCUGAUGUGAAAGCCCACGGCUCAACCGUGGAGGGUCAUUGGAAACUGGGAGACUUGAGUGCAGAAGAGGAAAGUGGAAUUCCAUGUGUAGCGGUGAAAUGCGUAGAGAUAUGGAGGAACACCAGUGGCGAAGGCGACUUUCUGGUCUGUAACUGACACUGAGGCGCGAAAGCGUGGGGAGCAAACAGGAUUAGAUACCCCUGGACUAC
This 474-nucleotide ribosomal RNA is filed under the name Bacillus mycoides. Its description in RNAcentral is "bacterial SSU rRNA". It matches the Rfam family "Bacterial small subunit ribosomal RNA", at positions 322 to 798 of the family's 1533-position model. Lineage: Bacteria; Bacillati; Bacillota; Bacilli; Caryophanales; Bacillaceae. The record is from RNAcentral.